CUUGACCUCCCAUUCAGAUUUAAUUUCCUAACUGCCAUUUGUGGGGCUAGGGAUAGAGGGCCCGGAAGGGGGCACUGUCACCAGUUGCUGCUGCUUUUCUGCAGCCACUGACGUGAAGGGACCACAUCCUGCUUCAUGUCAGCGACUCCUGCCCCUUGGUCUUCAGUUUUUUCUCUUCCCAGGAGGGACUUUGAUCAUGCGGGAUAGAAUUCUCCCAUCGCACACUUGGAGGCAAGUUUUAGAUGAGCUUCUUUCCUCCAUUUCACCUGGUGGUCUGUGGACACACAGAGGGUGGGGGUGAGCAGGCAGUGUGGGUGGGGAGGGGCUCCUGAUGCUACCUCCCCCAGAUCCCUUACAAACUCUGUACCUCUCGGUGCGUGGCAGCCUCUUGCUGUAGUUCUUCUUUUCUGGAUAUGACUGUCAGUUUCGUCAUGAGAUUUCUUGCUCUCAUUUCGAACUCUUUCUUUCUUCCACUUUCUUUGGGGGUGACCCCCGAUCCAUGCCAGGUCUUCCUGUGAAGACAACUCCAACCUCGUUUCCAUUUCUUGAAUGUUGAGUAUUACAACAUCACUGCGCUAGGGUGCUUCAUGGUGCUGUUCUCGAAGAGGCCAGUUGGGCUGAAUCUCCCUCCUCCCACUGGCUCCUGAUAUCUUGCUGUAUUUUGUCUUCUUUCUGAUUUUUCCCUUGGGGUUUGGGGUGGGUGACUUAGGGGCGGCUUUUGUGUUCUCCCUCUCUCUCUCUUUUCUGUAUGUAUGUAUGGACUGGCUAAAGUGAGUUUGGGCAGCUGACUUUAUGGUAUGGGUUGGCUGACUUUUGUUCAAUAUUAAAGACAAACCAACAAAUUGUACAGCUGCACACAGAACACCCUCGAGUGUGAACUUGAAUGGCAACUAGAGGCUUACUUUUUGAACUUCAGGUAUGUAACUCAAAAGUAAAUAAAAACACUAUUUUUUCAGUAAGCUUUUUUUUUUUCUUCUAAAAGAUGACUUAGAAAUCAAACUAUAAGAACAUGAAAUCGGUGCUGUACCAAAGCCUUAUAUGAACAUAUUCUACACUCUGUAUAACCUGUGAGGAGCUCCCUGCUCUAUCACCCUCUUCUCAAAAGCCUGGGAAUGCCAGCGCGUGCCAAGCCUGGGGCUGGGUCUUGGGGACCUGUGGGCCAAGGGUACCCUGGGAAGCAAAAGAUGAUGGUGAGAAUGGGACACCCUUCUGCUGCCUGAGCAGACUGCAAGGAAACCCGAUGUGUGUGUGUGUGUAUGUGAUGGUGAGGAUGGGACACCCUUCUGCCUGAGCGGACUGCAAGGAAACCCGAUGUGUGUGUGUGUGUGGGUGUGUGUGCACGCGUGCACGCGUACCUGCAUAUAUGUGUGCGUACCUGUGUGUGUGCGUGCGUGUACCUGCAUAUAUGUGUGUGUGUACCUGUGUGUGCAUGUGUGUGUGCACGCGAGAGAGUGAGAGCGAGAGAGCUCACAGGUGAUCAAUGCCAAAGUGAAUGCACUAAGUACGAGCUUGAAGGGAGACCCGGUUGGCUCUGGGAGCGGGGCGGUGUAGGAAUGAAGGGGGACGCUCUCUCCCGUUUCCUCCCUCCUUCCCUUCUUCUCCAUCAGGGAGGGGAGGUGUGUUGGAAACAGCUACACUCUCAAUCAGGUGCUUUUUUUUCCCUCAAAAUCUCCAAACUCAAAGCACUUAUAAAGGGCCCUUCCUAGGGGCAGGCACCCCCAGCCACCAAAUCACAGAUUUCCAAGAGUGGGAGGAGCUUUCCUCUCUCCAACCAUUCCUUGGUUUCCUGGGGAAGAGGGUUCUUCCUGCAGGGCCCCUGGGCAUCCUGCUCCUGGGCCUGGGCCUAUAGACUGCCCUGCCCCUUCUUCCCAAACCACUGAGAAGACCCCACUGGAGAUGACCCCAAAGCCACGCCUGCUCCACAGCCCUAAGCAAUAAUGCCUGCCCUGGCUACUGAUGACGGUGAUCCCUUUGGCCUUUGACUUGCCAGUUAAAAAUGGAGUGACACCCCAGACUCAAUUAGGAAGAGAACCUGCAGCCUGCCUCAGCUCAGGCUACCACGCCAGGCUCCACUCGCUGGUAUUUUCAGGCUUGCUAAGUACUAACCAACUCAUCCCCAGUAACACUGCAUGUUCAUAUCCUGAAUUAAAAAGCAAAAUGAGCAAACAAGUGCAUAAGCAAACGAGAAAAAAGAAGGCACAUCAAAUGACGAGAUGUGCAGCCAGUGAAGGUACCCCGGGAGUGUUGCAAGUUAAACGGAUGGAAAGAUGUUUAGUAUUUAAUUGCUCCUCAUGUAACAUUACUCUGCUUCAGAAAUGUUUUGUAUUUUGAUAUAAAUAAACAUUUGCUAAAAAAAA
Long non-coding RNA from Macaca fascicularis (crab-eating macaque), 2357 nucleotides. Lineage: Eukaryota; Metazoa; Chordata; Mammalia; Primates; Cercopithecidae. The record is from Ensembl.